GGCUUCUCCAUAACUGUGUCAACUGUCAAGUGUCAUGUGUGAUUACGAGUAACGAGUUAAAUCUGUCAUCUGUGUAUGAUUUUUCCCUUAACCUCUUAUUUUCCGAAGGAUAGUUCCAAUAAAAUAAGACGUGAGGCACAUUAAAUGGAUAUUUUUUUUGUGGAAUGGGUAUUCUUUUGAUCAGCUAUGCCAGCUGCCAAAUCUCAGUAGUAAUUAUUACUUUUGCGUUCCAUCAUGCAAAUCUAUUGCUCAUUGUGAGGUAUUCCUAAAUAACAUGAUUUGCUGAGCAUACGUCAAUAGACCCUCAAGUGUCGCACUAUAUCGAUACAGUUGUAUUAUAGCUCAGUGGGAUGGCGUCUUGUAAGUGUCAGGUUCGAUUCCAAGUAAUGUCUAACUUCCGAUAUUUCGCGAUCAAGAGAUAUCGUAUUUAGAAUAAAUUGACAUACGAAACAAUUUUAUUUGUACUAUAGUUUAAUUAAUUUUAAUUAAUUUGACCACUACAAUUUUUGUUAAUUGUUUCCUACUUUAACCUUCCACGAUUGUUUGUUUUCUUACACUAAUUGAAAGUGCAAUUAUAUUUUGGGUUAAUUAAUUUUAUUCUACAUAUUAAUUCAACUCUGUCGUAGAUCAAACAUUAUACCCAUGGCCAGUGCGCUAUCAUUCCGUCAUGAUUACCAUUUUAAUAAUCGCUGUUUUCUUUGAAAUGAACAUAGAACAUAUGAAGUUUUAUAACAGAAAUUUUUUUAAGUACAAGUAAUGACAUGUUCCAUUCAUAGAAAAAAAGUGUAAUAGAAAUUGCUCAAUGAAAUGAGUAAUUUUUUUUCCCAAAAAACAUUUUGUACAUUAAAUGUUUCAACCACUAAGCAAUGGUGGGUAAUGAAGUUGUUACCAUAAUUUUUGGUCACUUUUAAGUAAGUUUUAUAUAGAGUUGAUUAAGUGUCAUAUUACAACAUAAAUCAAAUAACGCAAAUAGCUUAGUGAUUAAAAUAUUAAUAAAAUUAUAGAUAAUUUAGAGUUCGAUUAGUGAUAAAAUGCACACGAAUUAACAAUUUCAAAUUGUUUUAUCUUGACAAUUUUAUCUAUACUUAACGUGUAAUUGAAUCGUCGGAAUUUUGCUAAAUAAUAUAUAAAUAUGAUUAAAACAUUUUGCAAAGAUUGUUUUAUGUUAAUUACAAUUACUAUGACCAUUCUUCAAAGUUUUUCAUAACAUAAAAGUUAUGAAAUGUAGUAAAUAACAAAUGCAUCGGGGUGAUACACGAAGGAAAUAACCAUAUUAUAUGUACACGAACAAAUAUAUUUAACAUUUCCGUUCAGACCGCGAUAUUUGUCUAUUUUACUUGUUCCCAACCACUAUAAACAAGAAUAUAUAAACACUUACCAAAAAUCAUGGAUGCUUAACAAACCCUGAAGGCGGAUUUUAGUCUUAUGGCUCUUUUGUUCACACAUAGCAUGGAACUUAGGAUAUAAAUGUUCCUUUGAACACCGCAUCACACAUUACUUGACAAUUUUACAGAUGAAUAAUGCCAAUGACAUCCUUAAACUGAAAAGAAAAUAAAUAUAAAAAAUUAUUAUAUUAGAGAAAUAUUACGUUACAUAAGCAAUUAUAACCUGAGGCUCGAUAACAGGUGUACUAACGCCCUCCAAAAUUUUCUUAAACCUUUAAGUUCCCACAUAUAACAUUCAUAAAUCUCAUCAUUAGAAAUAAAUUCAUUUUACAUGUUUCCCUUACAUGUUAAGUGGUUGCUAAUGUUAAUAUUGGCCGCCCCUGCAUCCUACAACAUUCCCUUACCCCACUGAUUAAACAGAUAAGUGUGCCACAAAAUUUCUCAAAGUAAGAACCACGUCAACUUUCCACAAAAAGAAGUGAAUUACCUUAGUUCAUAAUAGAAGUAGACCUAGCGACUUAAAGAAAUCGUUUCCAUAAUGGAACCAAAUCCAAUAGAACCUAACAUAGUCUAAAGAAUCUUCAUCUGCAUCACAGAACUGCAUAUCCAAACCUGUGCCUGCCAUGUAGGUAGGAUCCACCCGUAAUUCUAAUAGUAGAAAAACAAAAGCUAAACUAUUACACGGAUUUCCCAAAUCUUCAAAAUUUCAUUAAAAUCCUAUCCAGUUAACGUAUACGCAGAGUGAUACCUGGUCUUGGCAGUGUUUACAGCUAUAACAAACUUUCGCAUCCAUCUAUGACGAGGGAAAGAUUUGUCGACGCCAGAUGAUUAGACAACUUACGACAACCUCACCUCUCCUAUAUUUUAAACACCCUGUAAUACUAAACAUCGUGUCACAAUGAAGUUUAGAAAGUCCUGCACGAGUGAACGAACAGUCAAAUGAUUCUUACCCUAUCUUAUUGGAUGCUUUGGCGACGGUACCGAAAUGACACCCUGGAGAUAGAACAUCCGACACGACGCAACAUAACCUGAAAUCAAGCAAACAUUUUUAACGGACACUGCGAACUGAACCCUAAAUGUUAAUUCUCCUAAAUAUAAUCAGUAGGAAAUAUCAAAGUCGUAUCCAUCAAGAAUUCAGAUGACACGCACGAAAAAACAUCAUAUUAACACUAGACAAAGAUAUGUUGCAGACAUAACUAAUCACCUCAAGAAAGCCACAAAGUCCCACACGAUCUAAAACCAAACAAGUCCAACACCUAGAAGAAAAAAAUAAAUUGAUUAAAAACCAGACAAGUGAGCAUUGCAGGGCCAAAAGGGCUUUGCUUCAGGCACUGAUAGUGGUUUAGUUUAUCAUUCAAACAGUCAAGAGUAGCAAAUAGUGGUCAUCAUCAACUGCCCAUAAAAAUAAGUCAGACAUUAUAUUACCCUCCAAGAGCAACACUGGAGACUGGGCAGCAUCAUGUUAGCACCUGAAUGCAACAUACAACAGUCAAGAGCAGACAGCAUAAUUGGACAUAAAGUGAACCUGCAGAUUUAAAAUUUCCUGCCCAAACAUUAAAAAAAACAAUCUAAGUUAUAUUGCGCAAGAUUACACAAGAACAUGUAUCUAAUAUGAGAAACUAUGUUACCUUUCAAGGAUCUCCUAAGUAUUAUGGUUACCAGAGAAUAAAAACUGAGUACCAGUGACACAGUAAUCUCCCAAACCAAGUGAAUCAGGUGUCAGCAACUCAUCAAGCAAGCAGAAUCCACCUGAAUCAAGAAGUCCAAAAUACUACGAAACUAGCAGGAAUAGUAAUAAAAUACUAACAGAAGGGAGUGAAAAACUAUGAUCUAUGUCCAGCAAGGUUGUUCAGAUGUAAAUCAUCACUAACUUAGUGAAACUGCAACACAGAAAUUCCACUUCAGCAUCAACAACUUGAGAAUUUCUUGGAUACAUCAGUUAGUUGAAAAUAAACUUGACGAAACAAUCGGACGAACACGUGGUAACCCAUACUUGUCGUACAUCAACAUGUGAUAAUCACUGAAAUAUUUAAAUAACGAAAAUUUUAUGCUUCGCAUUAAACACCAUUGUAUAAUACUUAGAUAACAAGACUAGGAAAAUGAAACUUGAUAAAAGUUUCUGUAAAACUCACCAACUUUUGAAGUAUCUUUUCCUUUCAACGACAGAAACAAAUAUGAUAUUUCCCAAAUAUUUUCAGGCCUUAUAUAGCAGGUAGCAGGAUCCCUCCAUUCCCUCUGUUUCCCCCUCCCUUCAAUUUCGUUCUAGCGGUGGCGUCUUGAACUACUUCAUAAAUAUUUAAUGGUAAAACGUUAAAGAGUGUACUAAAAACUGUAUUACUUUUAAUUAAAACAAAAGCAUUCCUAAAAAUAUAACAGUUUAAUAUGUGUAAGUGAUACUGCAAAACUAGUACUUAUCGCUCAGUGGAACUGUCAGUUUUAAAAAUGCAUCCAUAUCAGCUGGGUAUGUGGCGCAUACCUGUAAUCCUGCUUCUAGGAGGCUUGAUGUAGUGGAUGGUUUGAGGCUGGGAGUCCUGCUGGAUCGUCGCUUGCGUUGAACAGGUGUCCGCACUAAGCUUGGCAUUCACAUGGAUCGGUUGGAGGAAUCCGGCAGAUCCAGGUUAUCUAAGGAGGAGCGAAUCGGGCCAGGAGGGAAACCUAGCAGCCAAAAGUUCCCGUGUCGGGCAGUAGUGGGAUCGCGCCCGUGAGUAGGCGCCUUUCAGCAGCCCAGCCAAUAAA
Molecule: long non-coding RNA, 4121 nt
Filed under: Daphnia magna
Lineage: Eukaryota; Metazoa; Arthropoda; Branchiopoda; Diplostraca; Daphniidae
Description: uncharacterized LOC123477014
Rfam family: Metazoan signal recognition particle RNA (bases 3842-4121)
Source: RNAcentral